UCUGCUCUUUUUUUUUUUCUUUUUUUAAUAGACAAGGUCUCAUUCUAUCUGCCUGUCCUGAUACAGAGCCUGCCCCUGACUCCUGAGGGCUGGAAUUAAAGGUGUAUGUCACCACAUCUGUUUUUAAGGUGUCUUGUAUGCUGAUUAAAUUGGAUUGUGUUCCAGUUUUGUCUAGAUCAUAUAUUUUCCUUUGGUUUUGUUGAGAACUCUGUUGGAUAACAUCUUUUCAGUAACUUAAGUGGAAAGGACAGCAGGAAAUUGUCUGGGUAGCUGGGAAUAACUGUCUCAUAUUUGAUUAAUAGUUGGUUGGGCAAGGUUAUUUUAACAUUUUGUCUUGGUCCAAGAGAGUGCCAUUUUGUCCCUCUGUCUUCUAGCAUUUAUUGCUGUCUGUCUGUCUGUCAUUCUCUCUCUUUCUCUCACUCUUCUUUCUUUCUCUCUUUCUCUCCCUCUCUCCUUUUUUAGGUUUUUUGAUACAGAGUUUCUCUGUGUAGCCCUGGCUGUCCUGGAACUCACUCUGUAGACCAGGCUGGUCUCGAACUCAGAAAUCUGCCUGCCUCUGCCUCCUAAGUGCUGGGACUAAAGGCGUGCGCCACCCCUGCUGGGUGAUAUACGGUCUCUUUGACAGCUCUUUGUGCUUUCUCUUGCUGUGAUAUGGCACUGACCAGAAACAACUUGGGGAGAGGAGGAUUUAUUUCUCCUCCAGGUUUAAUUCCAUCAUGGGGGGAAGCGAGUCAGGAACUCAGGAACUCCGUCAGGAGCGGAGGAACACUGUUGGAGAGUCCCGCUUCCCAGGUAGGUCUGUCUUAGGUUUGUGUCAAGUUGACAGAAGCUAGCCGGCACAGUCUCCUCUGGUCCAUCCUAGAAAACUUUUGGAAAUUUUGUUGCAGGUUUCUGAAGUUGCUGACUGAUGGUGUGAGAUACAGUUUCCUGAGCCCCUGCCCUUCAAUCUCAGGCCUUUUGAUUCUAGGCUUGGUUUUCUAGUGAUGUGGUUUUUUUGGGAAAUAGGUCACCUUAGCCUUUCCUCACUCCAUUUUUUCUCUUGUCUUUCCCCAGACCUUUUUGCACACACCAGAUACUAUAAAGUUAAGGACAGGCCUUUUUAAUUUUUACUGGAAAAUUACCUCAAAUUCUUUUCAGAUUAGAUAAUGACCUUAAUUUGAUUGUAAUUUAUAUAGCCUUGGCUGGUCUGGAGUUCACUGUGCAGAACAGGCUGCCUGGCCUUGAAUUUACAGAGUCUGCCUCUCAAAUGCUUGGAUCACAGGUUUGCACCAUCACACCCACCCUGUUCAUCAGUUUGGGAUUUGUGGGUAGGAGUUGUGGAUGUGCAUUCUCUGGAUAGUACGUGAAGGUCAGAGGUCAGAUCUGUGGGCUCAGUGUUUCCUACCCACCUUUCCACCAGUUCUGAAGAUCCACUGGGGGUUGCCAGGCUUGCCACCAAGCUCCAUCUCGACAGCCCAGCAGUCACUUUCCUGUUUGAAAUAGGUUGCCACUAUGUCAUGUCAACUGGCCUCAGACAGAGAUCGACUGGCCUGGGCCUCCCAAACACUGGGGUUAAAGGCUUGUGCCACUACGCCGGUGCAUACCAUCUUUAUUAGUGUCCGGUGAGAGGGCUAGUGACUAUCCCAUCAUCUUUUAAAUAAGUUACUUUUGAAUGAUAAAGGAAGUAUAAUUUGGAAAAUGAAAAGGAAGGAUUGUUUUAUUGUUGGUUUGAGUCCAUAUGGCCCUUGGACUUGUUUAAAAAUCUGUACGUUUUUUACUUUGAGCCAAUGUUUAUGGAGUAAUUACUAUUGAGGCAGACUAUAUUAUGGAAACAGUUGUAGUAUAGUUUUUUUUUUUUUCCUGUUUUUAAUCAUCUUUUAGAGCCAGGCAGUGGUGGUUCAUGCUAUUGAUUCUAGAACUUCACAGGCAGAGGCAGGUGAAUCUCUGAGUUUGAGACCAGCCUGGUCUACAGAAAGAGUUACAGGACAGCCAGAGCUAAACAGAGAAACCCUGCCUUGAAACCCCACCUUUUUGGCUCCUUAGUGUUCCUUAGACGAGAGAAUUUGCUGGUCCUGGUGUUGUGGGCACCUGUAAUGCCUACACUUGGGAAGCUGAGACUGGAAGCGUUAAUGGUUGAGGUCAGCCUGAGUUACAGAGACUGUCUUAGGGUUUCUAUGCUGUAAAGAAACACCAUGACCGCCGGGCGUGGUGGCGCACGCCUUUAAUCCCAGCACUUGGGAGGCAGAGGCAGGUGGAUUUCUGAGUUCGAGGCCAGCAUGGUCUAAAAAAUGAGUUCCAGGACAGCCAGGGCUACACAGAGAAACCCUGUCUCGAAAAACCAACCAACCAACCAAACAAACAAACAAAAAGACCCCCCAAAAAACAUAACAAGAACCAAGAAACACCAUGACCACAGCGACUCUUAAAAAGGAAAGCAGUUAGUUGGGGCUGGCUUACAGUUCAAAGGUUUAGUCUACUGUCACCGUGGUGGCACAGGCAGCUGUGGUGCUGAAGGAGCUCAGAGUCAACAUCUGGAUCAGCAGGCAGCAGGGAGAGAGUGACCCUGGGCCUGGUUGGGCUUCUGAAACUCCAAAGCACACACUUCGUCCAACAAAGCCACCCCUACUUUCUCUAAAGAAAAAGACUUCCCCUCCCAAUAGUGCUACUCCCUAUGAGCCUAUGGGGGCAUUUUCAUUCAAACCACCAUAGAGACCUUAUCUCAAAAAGACUCCAAAUCAUCAAACAAGC
This 2727-nucleotide long non-coding RNA is filed under the name Mus musculus (house mouse). RNAcentral's name for it is "long non-coding RNA chr18:56711878-56714605". The record is from RNAcentral. Lineage: Eukaryota; Metazoa; Chordata; Mammalia; Rodentia; Muridae.